CCGCGGUAAUACGUAGGGUGCGAGCGUUAAUCGGAAUUACUGGGCGUAAAGCGUGCGCAGGCGGUUUUGUAAGUCAGAUGUGAAAUCCCCGGGCUCAACCUGGGAACUGCAUUUGAGACUGCAAGGCUAGAGUGUGGCAGAGGGGGGUAGAAUUCCACGUGUAGCAGUGAAAUGCGUAGAGAUGUGGAGGAAUACCGAUGGCGAAGGCAGCCCCCUGGGUCACUACUGACGCUCAUGCACGAAAGCGUGG
RNAcentral lists this ribosomal RNA (250 nucleotides) under uncultured bacterium. Its description in RNAcentral is "partial 16S ribosomal RNA". It matches the Rfam family "Bacterial small subunit ribosomal RNA", at positions 515 to 764 of the family's 1533-position model. The record is from RNAcentral.